Molecule: ribosomal RNA, 253 nt
Filed under: uncultured bacterium
Lineage: Bacteria
Description: partial 16S ribosomal RNA
Rfam family: Bacterial small subunit ribosomal RNA
Source: RNAcentral
UACGUAGGGGGCAAGCGUUAUCCGGAUUUACUGGGUGUAAAGGGAGCGUAGACGGCAUGGCAAGCCAGAUGUGAAAUACCGGGGCUCAACCCCGGGACUGCAUUUGGAACUGUUAAGCUGGAGUGUCGGGGAGGCAGGCGGAAUUCCUAGUGUAGCUGUGAAAUGCGUAGAUAUUAGGAGGAACACCAGUGGCGAAGGCGGCCUGCUGGACGAUAACUGACGUUGAGGCUCGAAAGCGUGGGGAGCAAACAGG